GGGGCUGUAAUGGUUUCGACAGGUCUUUGUUUGAUUCAAGCUGCAGUGGAGCGAUGACCAUAUCAUCAAACAAAUUUAAACGCUAAAAACACAAACAGAGGCGCAAGCCUCGCUUUCGCUGCCUAACAACGCUUGAUGCGCUGACAGCGCCCCAGCAAUUGCUUUGCCAUUUGGCAGCUGCUGUGUAACUUAAGUGGAUAAGGUGAAGCUGAUGACUGUAGGCUGAUCCCGACAAUCUUACAGAUCAAUUCAGUGAGAGGGUAGUCUGCUGUCAUUCUCACUGUCUUAUCAAUCAGCAGGAUAAACUGUAGACGCUUGAAUGUGGGACAAUUCUUGGACAGGGGUUCGAUCCCCCUCAGCUCCACUA
RNAcentral lists this transfer-messenger RNA (367 nucleotides) under Erysipelotrichaceae. RNAcentral's name for it is "Bulleidia sp012516665 Standard tmRNA". It matches the Rfam family "transfer-messenger RNA". From Rfam's summary of the family: Bacterial tmRNA, also known as 10Sa RNA or SsrA, is named for its dual tRNA and mRNA-like properties. The record is from RNAcentral. RNAcentral also lists the same sequence under 1 other name. Lineage: Bacteria; Bacillati; Bacillota; Erysipelotrichia; Erysipelotrichales.